UGGCUCAGUGGAUAGAGCAUUGAUCUGUGGACUGAAGGGUCCCAGGUUCGAUUCCUGG
Molecule: transfer RNA, 58 nt
Filed under: Myotis lucifugus (little brown bat)
Lineage: Eukaryota; Metazoa; Chordata; Mammalia; Chiroptera; Vespertilionidae
Rfam family: tRNA
About the family: Transfer RNA (tRNA) molecules are approximately 80 nucleotides in length. Their secondary structure includes four short double-helical elements and three loops (D, anti-codon, and T loops).
Source: Rfam by way of RNAcentral